This 810-nucleotide long non-coding RNA is filed under the name Sorghum bicolor (sorghum). RNAcentral describes it as "long non-coding RNA (SBIC_LNC010829)". Lineage: Eukaryota; Viridiplantae; Streptophyta; Magnoliopsida; Poales; Poaceae. The record is from RNAcentral.
CUUUUGUGGUAUUUCUAGAUCCUUUCCAAGGUAGUAGUGGUAUAUGCCUUCUCUCAAAGUAUGUGGUAUUUUUGGUAUGAGGCAUAGUGAUAUUGCCUUCUCUCUCACCCUACUCUAAUAAGGUUUUGAUAUCUGGAGCUCAUAGGUGGGAGACAGAUAAUACAUACUUACAAGACAUUUAUUGCAUAGUCAAACCAUGGAUCCAGAAGAACAAGUCAGUAAGUCAAAUCAAGAUGUGCAUGUGUGGCGAGUGAAUGGUGUAUGGUGAUGAUGGUGAUAACAAUGGUGAAAAUCUAAUUCUACUUUUGCUCUUUUAAGGGGAUACAUACCUUUCUUGCACUUUGAAGCUUUUUGAGGAGAAUGAGAUGCUCUAUAUUUUCUUUUUCUUUCCUCUCAGGUGGGUAUCUUAUACCCCUAAUUCUACUGUCGGACACUUGUCCAUUUUUACCUCUCGUCUCACUUUUUUCUUUUCUUUUGAGGCUCCGGGCACUUGCCCCUUUUUAUUUCCUCGUAUCCUUUUUUUAGAGCACUCAUCUCCUGAAAUAAUAUACCAAGUGGUAGUAACCAAGAUAACUCGAGCAUUUAUUUCACAUGGAAAAACAGAAAUGUUUUUGGCUAUUCUCUCCUAGAUUUGGAGUAGAAUACUUUUGGGUGGCUCUGGAGAUGGAAAUGAGUGGAUAUAUGUGGAUGCGUACUUCCGGAGUAGAAGCAGCAUGUGUGAGUGAACGUGCAAGUGAAUCUUGAUUUUAACCGCAUGACAAGCUCCUAAGGGUCUACACAGCUUGACCACACUCAAUGCUCAUAAGUAGU